AUUGAACGCUGGCGGCAGGCCUAACACAUGCAAGUCGAACGGUAACAGAAAGCAGCUUGCUGCUUUGCUGACGAGUGGCGGACGGGUGAGUAAUGUCUGGGAAACUGCCUGAUGGAGGGGGAUAACUACUGGAAACGGUAUCUAAUACCGCAUAACGUCGCAAGACCAAAGAGGGGGACCUUCGGGCCUCUUGCCAUCGGAUGUGCCCAGAUGGGAUUAGCUAGUAGGUGGGGUAACGGCUCACCUAGGCGACGAUCCCUAGCUGGUCUGAGAGGAUGACCAGCCACACUGGAACUGAGACACGGUCCAGACUCCUACGGGAGGCAGCAGUGGGGAAUAUUGCACAAUGGGCGCAAGCCUGAUGCAGCCAUGCCGCGUGUAUGAAGAAGGCCUUCGGGUUGUAAAGUACUUUCAGCGGGGAGGAAGGGAGUAAAGUUAAUACCUUUGCUCAUUGACGUUACCCGCAGAAGAAGCACCGGCUAACUCCGUG
This 490-nucleotide ribosomal RNA is filed under the name uncultured bacterium. RNAcentral's name for it is "partial 16S ribosomal RNA". It matches the Rfam family "Bacterial small subunit ribosomal RNA", at positions 30 to 507 of the family's 1533-position model. The record is from RNAcentral.